RNAcentral lists this long non-coding RNA (1026 nucleotides) under Homo sapiens (human). RNAcentral describes it as "HSALNT0286170". Lineage: Eukaryota; Metazoa; Chordata; Mammalia; Primates; Hominidae. The record is from RNAcentral.
AUUGGAUUUCGGACUUGCAUGGGGCCUUUAACCUCUUUGUUUUAGCCAAUUUCUCUCAUUUGAAAUAGGUGUAUUUACUCUAUGCCUGUACCCCCAACUGUAUCUAGGAAAUAAUUAACUUGCUUUUGAUUUUACAGGCUCACAGGUGGAAGGGAUUUGCCCUGUCUCAGAUGACACUUUGGACUAGGACUUUUGGGUUAAUGCUGGAAUGAGUGAAGACUUUGGGAGACUGUUGAAAAGGCAUGGUUGUGUUUUGAAAUACUCAACCUGGAACCUAAGAGGAUGGCAGUGGAGUUUUACUGCCCCUACAGUUUCUGCCAAUGAAGAUGGGAUUCUUAAAGGCUGUGAUGCCCUACUCCCUCUGAACCCUGCAAAUGGGAUCCUACAAGACCCGACGAAAGCCAGCAGAAAGUAGAAAUUCUUGUGGAAGUCCACUCUCCUGCAGGAGCUGUGUUUUGUGACCAGUGAGGAGAUUGUUUCUGGUGUCCAUCGGCAAGGGACUUCAAGUUGUAAGAUUUGCAUCAGCUGACUAGCCGGCUGGAUAGAAAUCCAAAACACAAAAUGUCUCUUGUUCUGAUUGUUCCAACUUUCAAGGAAGUUUAUCUUAAUUGCCCCAAUCUUCAUUGCCUUGUUAGCAAUUAGGAUUUUUACUUUCUUAGGCUAACUUUGGAAGAAUCUAUAGAUCUUCAGGGAGACUGUGUCUUUAGGACCCUCUUUAGGCACGCUUCGUGCAUCCAUGGUUAAGCCACAAAAGACUUAUUAGUUUUAAGCCAUAAAAAUGACGUAUUGGUUUUGAGUCACAACUGAAGUAGGUAAACCUCUGAAAAUUUGGACUUUUGUAUCUAAAAGUAUUUUUUAAAGAGCUUUCAUCCUAAGCAACUGUCUUAUUGGUCGUAUGAGAAUAUUUAACCUUAAAAAAAGAAAAUAAGCACUUAUAAAAAUUAAGUGUUAUUUCAGAAAAAUCAAAACUAAUUUAAAUGUUACUCAAGUUAUUCAAAUGAUCUAGGAAAAUCAUUGGUAAAUAAA